CCUCGUUCUCUUCUGAAUGCCUGCUAGCCAAGAAGAACAGGAAACCAUUUUGACUCUCAGAUACACCCUAAAGCUGCAGUAGUCUCAUCUAAAGGUGGCCUACCCUGCAGAACUGUAGUUUAGGAGUGCACAGCAAAGAGUCUGGUGAUAAAAAUCUCCCAGGUGAAGACCCACCUCACCUGUCAGGACAGAUCAGUGACGUUCGCUCUAAUCUACUGGAGAAAAUGAGGGAGACCCUCGAGAGGGAAUGGGGCAGACGAGAGGCGGUCGUCAUGGAGAGAUCUUGGGGGAUGUUUUUGGAGAUGAGCGCAAUGCAUGAACUCGACGAGCAUGAGCUUGAACAAGCUCGAGAAAAAGUGCAUGGGUGGCAGAUGAAAACCUCUGGGCUUGGAUCAGAAUUAGAAGACAAUGAAGAUGGUUAUGCAGAGUGACAAAUGUAUUUGGGGGUUUUUGUGGACUUAUUAAGCUUUCAAAGCAUCUACACUUGAAUGAAAUUCAUGUGGAAAAACGUGCUUCUUUAUGUAACGUUAAAUAAAAAAUUAAAGAAAUUGGUUCGAUAUUUACCACAGACAUAGAAAUGCCCCUCAAUGCAGAAACAUACAUAGGCCCAAGUUCAUGUGUACAAAACAUGAUACAUAGAUGCCCACCCAAAGUAAUGCCAUCCAAGCAGUAGUAUGCAUUGCUAUUUUAAGAGUAUCAUCACAGUCCUUUUCAAAAGGCAUUCAGUACACACUAUUUUUCAAUUUUUUAUAAUUCUUAAUUUGUUUUUCAAAUUCACAUUCAGACACAAUACCAAAAUUGUAAUCCAGUGAUUGUAAUUGUAAUAAACACUGACGUCAAUAAAAGAAGAAAGCUUGUUUGUUA
Molecule: long non-coding RNA, 864 nt
Organism: Clupea harengus (Atlantic herring)
Lineage: Eukaryota; Metazoa; Chordata; Actinopteri; Clupeiformes; Clupeidae
Source: Ensembl